This 604-nucleotide ribosomal RNA is filed under the name Steinernema sp. 3987. RNAcentral describes it as "eukaryotic LSU rRNA". It matches the Rfam family "Eukaryotic large subunit ribosomal RNA", at positions 381 to 995 of the family's 3401-position model. The record is from RNAcentral. Lineage: Eukaryota; Metazoa; Nematoda; Chromadorea; Rhabditida; Steinernematidae.
AAAAACGUUCAGAGGACGUGAACCGGUAGGAUGGAAGCAGAUAAAGUUGACGAACGUGUGUCGUAUUCAGAUCUACAAUUUGUGGGUUGUUUUUACGAUCUAUGUGGGCUGGCGUCUUUGGUUAACUUAGUGUCUGGCGGCAAUGGUGACCCUGCGGAGGGAUAAUCGGUUGUCGUGCGAUGCUGGGUAUGGCUAGAGGUUCGCUGGUCUUAUAGUCAUCGCUUUAUCUGACCCGUCUUGAAACACGGACCAAGGAGUGUAGCGCUUACGCGAGUCUUAGAGUGUGUCAAAACUUUGAGGCGUAACGAAAGUAAAUGUGGAUUUAUUCACUGACUUGGGAUGCGUUGUCUUUUUUGGAUAGCGUUGGACCAUGGUUUUAUCGUAAUCGCUUGCGAUGCGGUGAAAAUAGAGCGUAAGCGGUGCGACCCGAAAGAUGGUGAACUAUGCCUGAGCAGGAUGAAGCCGGAGGAAACUCUGGUGGAAGUCCGAAGCGGUUCUGACGUGCAAAUCGAUCGUCUGACUUGGGUAUAGGGGCGAAAGACUAAUCGAACCAUCUAGUAGCUGGUCCCCUUCCGAAAACCGUCUAGUAGCUGGUUCCUUCCGA